CUGUUUCUAGGUGUAAGAAAAUGAAUUACUUCAUGAAUUGUGUGUUAGUAGUCAAGAAAAACUGUAAGUAAUCAUGAAUGUUAAAAAGCUUUCUGUGUACCAGAUAAUUAAAAGUACAUUUUAUUUAUGAUUUUAAAUUUAUGAAACAAGUUAGACUUACCACAGUUACCACAUGGGAGGCCAAUGCAAUGAAUUCAAGGGAUGAGUGGUUGUUAUAACUUUCACUGAAAGUUUCAUUUAGACUGUAUCUUAAGUGUAUGCUUCCCUCGUCAAGGGUAGGAGGAUCAGUAUUUGUGCCCUCUGUUGUUGGUGCUACAGUGGUGAACACAUAUGAGGUAUGAGCCUCUGUUACUGGCUUUACUGACGUUAGUGUUGUUGUUGUUGUCGACAUUGUUGUAUAUACAGUUGUAGAAUUGAAUACAGUAGAUGAACCCUUAGCUAGAGUAGUUUUGGUUGAUUCUGGUUUAUUUCUAACAGUUGCUGCUGCUGUUGUCCUUGAUGCAAUUGCUGGCAAUGCUGAUGUCAAUGGAACAAAGGUUGAAGCUUUUGGUGCAGUAGCAGACUUUACUAAGCUUGUUGUUGAUGUUGUAAUUGUAUCUACUGCCACAGAAUGUAUCACAGUAGAUGAAACCUGAGCUAUUGUAGUCUUGGUUGAUUCUGGUUCAUUGCUAAUGGUUGCUGCUGUGGUCGUGCCCGAUGCAGUUGCUGGCAAUGCUGAUGUCACUGGUAAAAAUGUAGAAGCUUUGGGUGUAGUAGCCGACUCUACUAAGCCUGUUGUUGUUGUCACUGUAUUUUCUGUUGUAGUUAUCCUGAUUGUUUUCUGUUCAUUGCUAACAGUUGCUGAUGUGGUUUUGUCCAGUGCAGUUGCAUGCAAAGCUGAUGUUACUGGUGCAAAUGUAGAAGUUCUUGCUGUAGUAGCAGACACUAUUCGGCCUGUUGUUGUUGUCACUGUAUUUCCAGUUGUAGCUAUCCUGAUUGUUUCCGGUUCAUUGCUAACAGUUGCUGAUGUGGUUGUGCCCAAUGCAGUUGCUGGCAAUGCUGAUGUCACCGGUGCAAAUGUAGAAGCUUUGGGUGUAGUAGCCGACUCUACUAGGCCUGUUGUUGUUGUCUCUGUAUUUUCUGUUGUAGUUAUACUGAUUGUUUCCGGUACAUUACUAACAGUUGCUGAUGUGGUUGUGCCCAAUGCAGUUGCAUGUAAAGCAGAUGUCACUGGUACAAAUGUAGAAGCUUUGGGUGUACUAGCAGACUGUACUACACCUGUUGUUGUCACUGUAUCUUCUGUUGUAGCUAUCCUGAUUGUUUCCUGUUUAUUGCUAAGAGUUGCUGAUGUGGUUGUACUCAAUGCAGUUGCUGGCAAAGCUGAUGUCACUGGUAAAAAUGUAGAAGCUUUGGGUCUAGUAGCAGACUCUACUAGACCUGUUGUUGUUGUCACUGAAUCAUCUGUUGUAGUUAUCCUUAUUGUUUCUGGCUCAUUGCUAACAGUUGCUGAUGUGGUUGUGCCCAAUGCAGUUGCUGGCAAUGCUGAUGUCACUUGUAGAAAUGUAGAAGCUUUGGGUGUAUUUGCCGACUCUACUAGGCCUGUUGUUGUUCUCACUGCAUUUCCUGUUGUAGCUAUCCUGAUUGUUUCCGGUUCAUUGCUAAUAGUUGCUGAUGUGGUUGUGCCCAGUGCAGUUGCUGGCAAUACUGAUGUCACCUGUCCAAAUGUAGAAGCUUUGGGUGUAGUAGGAGACUCUAUUAAGCCUGUUGUUGUUGUCACUGUGUCUUCUGUUGUAGUUAUCCUGAUUGUUUCCUGUUCAUUGCUAAGAGUUGCUGAUGUGGUUGGGCCCAAUGCAGUUGCUGGCAAAGCUGAUGUUACUGGUGCAAAUGUAGAAGUUUUUGCUGUAGUAGCAGACACUAUUCGGCCUGUUGAUGUUGUCACUGUAUUUCCGGAUGUAGCUAUCCUGAUUGUUUCCAGUCCAUUGCUAACAGUUGCUGAUGUGGUUGUGCCCAAUGCAGUUGCAUGUAAAGCAGAUGUCACUGGUACAAAUGUAGAAGCUUUGGGUGUACUAGCAGACUGUACUACACCUGUUGUUGUCAAUGUAUCUUCUGUUGUAGCUAUCCUGAUUGUUUCCUGUUUAUUGCUAAGAGUUGCUGAUGUGGUUGUGCUCAAUGCAGUUGCUGGCAAAGCUGAUGUCACUGGUAAAAAUGUAGAAGCUUUGGGUCUAGUAGCAGACUCUACUAGACCUGUUGUUUUUGUCACUGUAUCUUCUGUUGUAGUUAUCCUUAUUGUUUCUGGCUCAUUGCUAACAGUUGCUGAUGUGGUUGUGCCCAAUGCAGUUCCUGGCAAUGCUGAUGUCACUUGUAGAAAUGUAGAAGCUUUGGGUGUAUAUGCCAACUCUACUAGGCCUGUUGUUGUUCUCACUGCAUUUCCUGUUGUAGCUAUCCUGAUUGUUUCCGGUUCAUUGCUAACAGUUGCUGAUGUGGUUGUGCCCAGUGCAGUUGCUAGCAAUGCUGAUGUCACCUGUCCAAAUGUAGAAGCUUUGGGUGUAGUAGGAGACUCUAUUAAGCCUGUUGUUGUUGUCACUGUGUCUUCUGUUGUAGUUAUCCUGAUUGUUUCCUGUUCAUUGCUAAGAGUUGCUGAUGUGGAUGGGCCCAAUGCAGUUGCUGGCAAAGCUGAUAUCACUGGUAAAAAUGUAGAAGCUUUGGGUGUAGUAGCAGACUCUACUAGGCCUGUUGUCGUUGUCACUGUAUCUUCUGUUGUAGUUAUCCUGAUAGUUUCUGGCUCAUUGCUAACAGUUGCUGAUGUGGUUGUGCCCAAUGCAGUUGCUGGCAAUGCUGAUGUCACCGGUACCAAGGUAGAAGCUUUGGGUGUAGUAGCAGACUCUACUAGGCCUGUUGUUGUUGUCUCUGUAUUUUCUGUUGCAGUUAUCCUGAUUGUUUCCAGUCCAUUGCUAACAGUUGCUGAUGUGGUUGUGCCCAAUGCAGAUGCUGGCAAAGCUGAUGUUAAUGGUGCAAAUGUAGAAGUUUUUGCUGUAGUAGCAGACACUAUUCGGCCUGUUGUUGUUGUCACUGUAUUUUCUGUUGUAGUUAUACUGAUUGUUUCCGGUACAUUACUAACAGUUGCUGAUGUGGUUGUGCCCAAUGCAGUUGCUGGCAAUGCUGAUGUCACCGGUACCAAGGUAGAAGCUUUGGUUGUAGUAGCAGACUCUACUAGGCCUGUUGUCAUUGUCAAUGUAUCUUCUGUUGUAGUUAUUCUGAUUGUUUCCGGUACAUUGCUAACAGUUGCUGAUGUGGUUGUGCCCAAUGCAGUUGCUGGCAAAGCUGAUGUCACUGGUAAAAAUGUAGAAGCUUUGGGUCUAGUAGCAGACUCUACUAGACCUGUUGUUGUUGUCACUGUAUCUUCUGUUGUAGUUAUCCUGAUAGUUUCUGGCUCAUUGCUAACAGUUGCUGGUGUGGUUGUGCCCAAUGCAGUUGCUGGCAAUGCUGAUUUCACCGGUACCAAGGUAGAAGCUUUGGGUGUAGUAGCAGACUCUACUAGGCCUGUUGUUGUUGUCUCUGUAUUUUCUGUUGCAGUUAUCCUGAUUGUUUCCAGUCCAUUGCUAACAGUUGCUGAUGUGGUUGUGCCCAAUGCAGAUGCUGGCAAAGCUGAUGUUACUGGUGCAAAUGUAGAAGUUUUUGCUGUAGUAGCAGACACUAUUUGGCCUGUUGAUGCUGUCACUGUAUUUCCGGUUGUAGCUAUCCUGAUUGUUUCCGAUUCAUUGCUAACAGUUGCUGAUGUGGUUGUGCCCAAUGCAGUUGCUGGCAAUGCUGAUGUUACCUGUGCAAAUGUAGAAUCGUUGGGUGUAGUAGCAGACUCUACUAAGCCUGUUGUUGUUGUUGUCACUGAAUCUUCUGUUGUACUUAUCCUGAUUGUUUCCGAUUCAUUGCUAACAGUUGCUGAUGUGGUUGUGCCCAGUGCAGUUGCUGGCAAUACUGAUGUUACUGGUGCAAAUGUAGAAGUUUUUGCUGUAGUAGCAGACACUAAUAGGCCUGUUGAUGUUGUCGCUGUAUUUUCUGUUGUAGUUGUCCUGAUUGUUUCAAGUCCAUUGCUAACAGUUGCUGAUGUGGUUGUGCCCAAUGCAGUUGCAUGUAAAACAGAUGUCACUGGUACAAAUGUAGAAGCUUUGGGUGUACUAGCAGACUGUACUACACCUGUUGUUGUCACUGUAUCUUCUGUUGGAGUUAUCUUGAUUGUUUCCAGUCCAUUGCUAACAGUUGCUGAUGUGGUUGUGCCCAAUGCAGAUGCUGGCAAAACUGAUGUUACUAGUGAAAAUGUAGAAGUUUUUGCUGUAGUAGCAGACACUAUUCGGCCUGUUGAUAUUGUCACUGUAUUUCCUGUUGUAGCAAUCCUGAUUGUUUCCUGUUCAUUGCUAAGAGUUGCUGAUGUGGUUGUGCCCAGUGCAGCUGCUGGCAAAGCUGAUGUUUCUGGUGCAACUGUAGAAGUCUUUGCUGUAGUACUAGACCCUCUUCGGCCUGUUGUUGUUGUCACUGUAUUUCCUGUUGUAGCUAUCCUGAUUGUUUCCUGUUCAUUGCUAAGAGUUGCUGAUGUGGUUGUGCCCAAUGCAGUUGCAUGUAAAGCAGAUGUCACUGGUACAAAUGUAGAAGCUUUGGGUGUAGUAGCAGACUCUACUAGGCCUGUUGUCGUUGUCACUGUAUCUUCUGUUGUAGUUAUUCUGAUUGUUUCUGGCUCAUUGAUAACAGUUGCUGAUGUGGUUGUGCUCAAUGCAGAUGCUGGCAAAGCUGAUGUUACUGGUGCAAAUGUAGAAGUUUUUGCUGUAGUAGCAGACACUAUUCGGCCUGUUGUUGUUGUCACUGUAUUUCCUGUUGUAGCUAUCCUGAUUGUUUCCGGUUCAUUGCUAACAGUUGCUGAUGUGGUUGUGCCCAAUGCAGUUGCUGGCAAAGCUGAUGUUACUGGUGCAAAUGUAGAAGUUUUUGCUGUAGAAGCAGACACUAUUCGGCCUGUUGAUGUUGUCACUGUAUUUUCUGUUGUAGUUAUGCUGAUUGUUUCCGGUACAUUGCUAACAGUUGCUGAUGUGGUUGUGCCCAAUGCAGUUGCAUGUAAAGCAGAUGUCACAGGUACAAAUGUAGAAGCUUUGGGUGUAGUAGCAGACUCUACUAGGCCUGUUGUUGUUGUCUCUGUAUUUUCUGUUGCAGUUAUCCUGAUUGUUUCCAGUCCAUUGCUAACAGUUGC
This is a long non-coding RNA of Cyprinus carpio carpio, 5209 nucleotides long. The record is from Ensembl. Lineage: Eukaryota; Metazoa; Chordata; Actinopteri; Cypriniformes; Cyprinidae.